RNAcentral lists this transfer RNA (68 nucleotides) under Longitarsus rutilus. Its description in RNAcentral is "tRNA-Ser". The record is from RNAcentral. Lineage: Eukaryota; Metazoa; Arthropoda; Insecta; Coleoptera; Chrysomelidae.
AGUUAAUGAACUUGUAAAAGUAUAUAUUUUGAAAAUAUAAAAAAGAAAUUUUAUUUUUCUAUUAACUU